GGUGACUCAGUGGUAGAGCGCUUGCCUUGCAUGCAAGAGGCCCUGGGUUCUAUUCCCCAGUACCA
Molecule: transfer RNA, 65 nt
Filed under: Dipodomys ordii (Ord's kangaroo rat)
Lineage: Eukaryota; Metazoa; Chordata; Mammalia; Rodentia; Heteromyidae
Rfam family: tRNA
About the family: Transfer RNA (tRNA) molecules are approximately 80 nucleotides in length. Their secondary structure includes four short double-helical elements and three loops (D, anti-codon, and T loops).
Source: Rfam by way of RNAcentral